GUGUUAUAUAUGUUCGUUUCCCGUACAUUCUUCAGGUAUGGGAAAGGGGAAUGACAAGCUCAAUCUUGGAGAAAAGGGCGCUAAGCCCUCUGAGAAGGAUGUGGAGGUACAUGUAUAAGCGAUUAUGCACGGUCCACAAGAAGAAAACUGGAAUUUACAUUUUGUAUGAGGAUGUCAAAUCCUGCAAUGAUGAAGAUGUGAACGUCUUGUGGUCGAUUGUCGUGAACAUUCACAACAAUACCCACUAUGCCAAUUCAGUCAGUGCCACUGUUCCAACCAACUCGAAUCCUUCGAAUACCUGACGAGGAAGAAAAAUGUAGUUAAGUUGAAUGUACUGCUGUUUUGGAUACACACCCUGAUAUCAUUAGCUUUGAUAGGCUAUAUUAUGACCUAGAAGUAAGGGAAGAAAUCAAUGUAAGAUAUCAGUUUUAUGAAUUUAUUACUUUUAUCAAUAGAUUAAAUGGGUUCUAUUAUACAA
This is a long non-coding RNA of Cryptomeria japonica (Japanese cedar), 478 nucleotides long. RefSeq lists it as uncharacterized. The record is from RefSeq and is a predicted model, not a curated record. The transcript is spliced from 2 exons. Lineage: Eukaryota; Viridiplantae; Streptophyta; Pinopsida; Cupressales; Cupressaceae.